UCGUACAUUCCCGUAGGGUGAACCUGCGGAAAGGGAU
This 37-nucleotide ribosomal RNA is filed under the name Pyrenophora teres. RNAcentral describes it as "partial 18S ribosomal RNA". The record is from RNAcentral. Lineage: Eukaryota; Fungi; Ascomycota; Dothideomycetes; Pleosporales; Pleosporaceae.